This 460-nucleotide ribosomal RNA is filed under the name uncultured bacterium. Its description in RNAcentral is "partial 16S ribosomal RNA". It matches the Rfam family "Bacterial small subunit ribosomal RNA", at positions 338 to 795 of the family's 1533-position model. The record is from RNAcentral.
CCUACGGGGGACAGCAGUGAGGAAUAUUGGUCAAUGGACGAGAGUCUGAACCAGCCAAGUAGCGUGAAGGAUGACUGCCCUAUGGGUUGUAAACUUCUUUUAUAUGGGAAUAAAAUGUUCCACGUGUGGGAUUUUGUAUGUACCAUAUGAAUAAGGAUCGGCUAACUCCGUGCCAGCAGCCGCGGUAAUACGGAGGAUCCGAGCGUUAUCCGGAUUUAUUGGGUUUAAAGGGAGCGUAGGUGGAUUGUUAAGUCAGUUGUGAAAGUUUGCGGCUCAACCGUAAAAUUGCAGUUGAAACUGGCAGUCUUGAGUACAGUAGAGGUGGGCGGAAUUCGUGGUGUAGCGGUGAAAUGCUUAGAUAUCACGAAGAACUCUGAUUGCGAAGGCAGUUCACUGGACUGCAACUGACACUGAGGCUCGAAAGUGUGGGUAUCAAACAGGAUUAGAUACCCUUGUAGUC